RNAcentral lists this transfer RNA (72 nucleotides) under Bos taurus (domestic cattle). It matches the Rfam family "tRNA". From Rfam's summary of the family: Transfer RNA (tRNA) molecules are approximately 80 nucleotides in length. Their secondary structure includes four short double-helical elements and three loops (D, anti-codon, and T loops). Further hydrogen bonds mediate the characteristic L-shaped molecular structure. tRNAs have two regions of fundamental functional importance: the anti-codon, which is responsible for specific mRNA codon recognition, and the 3' end, to which the tRNAs corresponding amino acid is attached (by aminoacyl-tRNA synthetases). tRNAs cope with the degeneracy of the genetic code in two manners: having more than one tRNA (with a specific anti-codon) for a particular amino acid; and 'wobble' base-pairing, i.e. permitting non-standard base-pairing at the 3rd anti-codon position. The record is from Rfam by way of RNAcentral. Lineage: Eukaryota; Metazoa; Chordata; Mammalia; Artiodactyla; Bovidae. RNAcentral also lists the same sequence under 2 other names.
ACCCUGGUGGCUCAGAGGUUAAAGCGUCUGCCUGCAAUGCAGGAGACCCGGGUUCGAUCCCUGGGUUGGGCA